This 1070-nucleotide long non-coding RNA is filed under the name Homo sapiens (human). RNAcentral's name for it is "HSALNT0169929". The record is from RNAcentral. Lineage: Eukaryota; Metazoa; Chordata; Mammalia; Primates; Hominidae.
GCAUCACCUGCUCCUCCUGCCUGUCUCGGCCUUCUAUUCUUCAUUACACAACAGAUGACCUAUCUGAUAGACGUCUUCCCUCCUGCAGAUUCUGUUGCCAGCCUUCAAUGAGAAUAAAGCCGGCAGCCCUUUUUAUCUUCAUUUGGCUGCGGUUCCAUCCUCUGCUUUUUUCUAAAGAUCGUUUGCCAGCAUUGCUUGCUCAGUUGUACCCAGUGGAACAAGCAGUGUCUUCUGAACUGACAAUUCUGACUUUUUGCUGCUUGUGAUUUUUCUAAAGCAUGACAACCACUCGCAUGAAGACACGGUAAACCUUUUCAGAUAAGGAAGCCAGGAAAAAGAAAGGCCUUUCAAGAAACAGAGGUAGUUACUGCAGGAGCUGAACAAGGCAAGUCUCCUAUGGAUUCAUUUAAUUUGGCCAUAACUUACAGGUGGUAAGAGAAAUUAGAAUCCUGCCGUCCGUGAGAGAGAGAGAGAGAUAGAGAGAGAGAGAGAGAGAGAGAGAGAGAGAGAGAGAGAGAGAAUACAUACAUGUUUUAAAAGAGCAUUUUAUUUGGACAGCCACUAAGAAAAUUCAGAUUAGGAAUUGGAAACCAGAAGGCUUCGUCUGUUCCAUAUGUAUGCACAUGCUAUAUUCUAAUUUUUUUAUAUUUAUCAGAAAUGAUACGCCUAAUUCCAAACAUAAAGGAGAGUUUCUUUUCAACAGAGUCUUCAAUAAUAUCUGUCCUCCUUCAAAAUAGAGUAACUCUAAAUGCUGUUCCUUCCACAGAGGUACUGAGAAAACAGAUGAUCUGUUGAGUCUGGAACUCAGCAUAGUGAUGCAUGUUACUGAAACGUGGAGUCCAGAAAGACAAUCCCAUUCCAAAGGCUAAGCAGUGAUGAUGUUUUCAACAGGAUGCAGCCCCUGGAUAUAAGCUCCUGCUUUCCAGAAAUCUCUGAGAUAUCUAAGAGACACAGUGGCUGUGACACCUUUUUGACACGUGUCUCUGAGAAAUUGCAAGGACAUGGAGAAGAUAGGAGAGCAGGAGCCAGAGGGAGGUCCAGACACCAAGGCUGUCCUCUCUGGAAGGAAG